AAGCACCCUAAUUCUUCUUCCCAGCAAUGCUUUUGAAGAUUCCACAGUGGAGUCCAGUAGCUCUGAGUAUCUUUGUUGGGUCCCAUCCACUGCUGAAGUUGGUCAUGCUCUCUCUUAAAAUGUGUUUGUAUAUAAAAUUAGAUUAUAGGUUAGACUCAGCAGCUCUUUUCAUCAGGGUCCAGUAAUCUUUGGAAUGGGGAGAAAUUCAUGGGAGGGGAAGAUUACUGGACGGUUGUACCUAAAGAUUGGGAGAGCCAAGGCCAAGCUGAGAAGGGUGGAAUCUGAUCCUUGUCUAAAUCUGAAUAGUCAAGAGUGACUGAGGGCUUGGCUACACUGGAGAGUUGCAGCGUUGGUGGUGGGUUUACAGUGCUGCAACUUACUCACCGUCCACACUUGCAAGGCACAUACAGCACUGCUCUCCCUGGCUGCAGCGCUGGCUGUACUCCUGCUCUGGCUGAGAUAUAACAAUUGCAGCGCUGGUGAUGCAGCGCUGCUCCUCUAGUAUGGCCACCAAAAGCGCUGUAAUUUGGCCUCCAGAGAUAUUCGGAGGUAUCUCAGAAUGCCUGUUCAGCCAUUCUGCUCAUCAAUUCGCACUCUGCUGCCCUGGCCUCAGGUGACCCGCCCUUUAAAUGCCCCAGGAAUUUUAAAAAUCCCCUUCCUGUUUGCUCAGCCAGAUGUGGAGUGCAAUCAGUGAAUCUUUCCAGGUGACCAUGCCUCCACGCGCCAAACGAGCCCCAGUAUGGAGCAAUGGCGAGUUGCUGGAUCUCAUCAGUGUUUGGGAUGAGGAAGCUGUGCAGUCACAGCUGCGCUCUAGCCGUAGGAAUUACGAUACCUACGGGCCGAUAUCAAGGGCCAUGCUGGAAAGGGGCCAUGACCGGGAUGCGGUGCAGUGCAGGGUUAAAGGGAAGGAGCUGCGGAGUGCCUAUUGCAAAGCCCACGAGGGAAACCGCCAUUCCGGCGCUGCCUUCACGACCUGCCGUUUUUACAAGGAGCUGGACACGAUACUUGGGGGUGACCCCACUGCCAAUCCGACGACCACGAUGGACACUUCAGAGUAGGGGGGGAAACUGAGACUGAGGGUACUGGGGUGGGGGGAGACACCCCGGAGUCCCAGGAAGCAUGCAGCCAGGAGCUCUUCUCAAGCCAGGAGGAAGGUAGCCAGUCGCAGCAGCCGGUACUUGGUGAAGGAAAAGCAGAGGAGCGGGUUCCCGUGUCCUUGACUACUCGACUGCCCGUAUCAUCGACUGCUCAGAGGCUACAAAACCUCUGGAAGAAGCCGCGAAAAAGCAAAGAAGACAUGAUGAAAGCA
Long non-coding RNA from Gopherus flavomarginatus (Mexican gopher tortoise), 1309 nucleotides. RefSeq lists it as uncharacterized. The transcript has 3 exons. The record is from RefSeq and is a predicted model, not a curated record. NCBI's taxonomy places the organism in Eukaryota, Metazoa, Chordata, Testudines, Testudinidae.